GACGAACGCUGGCGGCGUGCCUAAUACAUGCAAGUAGAACGCUGAAGGAGGAGCUUGCUUCUCUGGAUGAGUUGCGAACGGGUGAGUAACGCGUAGGUAACCUGCCUGGUAGUGGGGGAUAACUAUUGGAAACGAUAGCUAAUACCGCAUAAUAGCAGUUGUUGCAUGAUAACUGUUUGAAAGGUGCAAUUGCACCGCUACCAGAUGGACCUGCGUUGUAUUAGCUAGUUGGUGGGGUAACGGCUCACCAAGGCGACGAUACAUAGCCGACCUGAGAGGGUGAUCGGCCACACUGGGACUGAGACACGGCCCAGACUCCUACGGGAGGCAGCAGUAGGGAAUCUUCGGCAAUGGACGGAAGUCUGACCGAGCAACGCCGCGGGAGUGAAGAAGGUUGUCGGAUCGUAAAGCUCUGUUGUAAGAGAAGAACGAGUGUGAGAGUGGAAAGUUCACACUGUGACGGUAUCUUACCAGAAAGGGACGGCUAACUACGUG
This 495-nucleotide ribosomal RNA is filed under the name uncultured bacterium. RNAcentral describes it as "partial 16S ribosomal RNA". It matches the Rfam family "Bacterial small subunit ribosomal RNA", at positions 28 to 507 of the family's 1533-position model. The record is from RNAcentral.